GACGAACGCUGGCGGCGUGCCUAAUACAUGCAAGUAGAACGCACAGUUUAUACCGUAGCUUGCUACACCAUAAACUGUGAGUUGCGAACGGGUGAGUAACGCGUAGGUAACCUGCCUGGUAGCGGGGGAUAACUAUUGGAAACGAUAGCUAAUACCGCAUAAUAUUGAUUAUUGCAUGAUAAUUGAUUGAAAGAUGCUAUUGCAUCACUACCAGAUGGACCUGCGUUGUAUUAGCUAGUAGGUGAGGUAACGGCUCACCUAGGCGACGAUACAUAGCCGACCUGAGAGGGUGAUCGGCCACACUGGGACGGAGACACGGCCCAGACUCCUACGGGAGGCAGCAGUAGGGAAUCUUCGGCAAUGGACGAAAGUCUGACCGAGCAACGCCGCGUGAGUGAAGAAGGUUGUCGGAUCGUAAAGCUCUGUUGUAAGAGAAGAACGGGUGUGAGAGUGGAAAGUUCACACUGUGACGGUAUCUUACCAGAAAGGGACGGCUAACUACGUG
This 505-nucleotide ribosomal RNA is filed under the name uncultured bacterium. Its description in RNAcentral is "partial 16S ribosomal RNA". It matches the Rfam family "Bacterial small subunit ribosomal RNA", at positions 28 to 507 of the family's 1533-position model. The record is from RNAcentral.